Molecule: long non-coding RNA, 233 nt
Filed under: Physcomitrium patens
Lineage: Eukaryota; Viridiplantae; Streptophyta; Bryopsida; Funariales; Funariaceae
Description: long non-coding RNA (PPAT_LNC009498)
Source: RNAcentral
UUGUUGAAUCCAAAAUAUCCCGCAGCUGGAAAAUCGUGGCGAGAUUGAAGAACUCGGAGUCGUCCUGGUCCUUUUGGGAUAUAUAACCGCUUUUCAAAGUAUAAAAGAUCUCCCUCCACCUUGAACUUGUCGUCAUUGGCACGCUGCUUAAUAUCAAUGGCUACUGAAUCUUCAAUGGUUACGGCACGUACCUGAUUCAGGAAGUCAGCAUCAAUUAGCAUAAUAGUAGCGCA